GCGGAUGUCAGGAACGACCUGGCAGCAGCAUGACAAAGACGCAAACUGUCAUACUUUGCUAAUGUAGAGUAUCAUAUCUGUGUCCAAUAUCUGUGAUGAAGAAAAAUUGUGCCCUUCUUACCGUUCACCUGAAACUAUCCUUUGAACAAGCCAUCACCAUAUGACAGCUUAAGAGACUCCGAAGAGACGAUGUGCUGGUCGGUGAUUAUUCACCCUGAUGGGUUGAGCAUGAGGGCAGUCCAGUAAGCUUCCAGCGGAGCCGUC
Long non-coding RNA from Syngnathoides biaculeatus (alligator pipefish), 264 nucleotides. RefSeq lists it as uncharacterized. NCBI's taxonomy places the organism in Eukaryota, Metazoa, Chordata, Actinopteri, Syngnathiformes, Syngnathidae. The record is from RefSeq and is a predicted model, not a curated record. The transcript has 3 exons.